AGAGUUUGAUCAUGGCUCAGAUUGAACGCUGGCGGCAUGCCUUACACAUGCAAGUCGAACGGUAACAGGUCUUCGGAUGCUGACGAGUGGCGAACGGGUGAGUAAUACAUCGGAACGUGCCCGAUCGUGGGGGAUAACGGAGCGAAAGCUUUGCUAAUACCGCAUACGAUCUACGGAUGAAAGCAGGGGACCGCAAGGCCUUGCGCGGACGGAGCGGCCGAUGGCAGAUUAGGUAGUUGGUGGGAUAAAAGCUUACCAAGCCGACGAUCUGUAGCUGGUCUGAGAGGACGACCAGCCACACUGGGACUGAGACACGGCCCAUACUCCUACGGGAGGCAGCAGUGGGGAAUUUUACGCAAUGGGGGAAACCCUGACGUAGCGACACCGCGUGAGCGAAGAAGCCCUUUGGGGUGUAAAGCUCUGUCAACAGGAACGAAACAAAUGACGGUACCUGUGGAGGAAGCAUCGGCUAACUACGUGCCAGCAGCCGCGGUAAGACGUAGGAUGCAAGCGUUGUCCGGAUUUAUUGGGCGUAAAGAGUUCGUAGGCGGUUUGUUAAGUCUGAUGUUAAAGACCGGGGCUCAACCUCGGAAAUGCAUUGGAUACUGGCAGACUGGAGUGCAGUAGAGGCUAGUGGAAUUCCGCGUGUAGCAGUGAAAUGCGUAGAUAUCGGAAGGAACACCAGUGGCGAAGGCGGCUUACUGGCCUAAUACUGACACUGAGGCACGAAAGCGUGGGGAGCAAACGGGAUUAGAUACCCCGGUAGUCC
Molecule: ribosomal RNA, 769 nt
Filed under: uncultured bacterium
Lineage: Bacteria
Description: bacterial SSU rRNA
Rfam family: Bacterial small subunit ribosomal RNA
Source: RNAcentral